Molecule: ribosomal RNA, 468 nt
Filed under: uncultured bacterium
Lineage: Bacteria
Description: partial 16S ribosomal RNA
Rfam family: Bacterial small subunit ribosomal RNA
Source: RNAcentral
GACGAACGCUGGCGGCGUGCUUAACACAUGCAAGUCGAACGGAAAGGCCCUGCUUUUGUGGGGUGCUCGAGUGGCGAACGGGUGAGUAACACGUGAGUAACCUGCCCUUGACUUUGGGAUAACUUCAGGAAACUGGGGCUAAUACCGGAUAGGAGCUCCUGCUGCAUGGUGGGGGUUGGAAAGUUUCGGCGGUUGGGGAUGGACUCGCGGCUUAUCAGCUUGUUGGUGGGGUAGUGGCUUACCAAGGCUUUGACGGGUAGCCGGCCUGAGAGGGUGACCGGCCACAUUGGGACUGAGAUACGGCACAGACACCUACGGGAGGCAGCAGUGGGGAAUAUUGCACAAUGGGCGGAAGCCUGAUGCAGCAACGCCUCGUGCGGGAUGACGGCCUUCGGGUUGUAAACCGCUUUCGCCUGUGACGAAGCGUGAGUGACGGUAAUGGGUAAAGAAGCACCGGCUAACUACGUG